CCUACGGGAGGCAGCAGUGGGGAAUAUUGCACAAUGGGCGCAAGCCUGAUGCAGCCAUGCCGCGUGUGUGAAGAAGGCCUUCGGGUUGUAAAGCACUUUCAGCGGGGAGGAAGGCGGUGAGGUUAAUAACCUCAUCGAUUGACGUUACCCGCAGAAGAAGCACCGGCUAACUCCGUGCCAGCAGCCGCGGUAAUACGGAGGGUGCAAGCGUUAAUCGGAAUUACUGGGCGUAAAGCGCACGCAGGCGGUCUGUCAAGUCGGAUGUGAAAUCCCCGGGCUCAACCUGGGAACUGCAUUCGAAACUGGCAGGCUAGAGUCUUGUAGAGGGGGGUAGAAUUCCAGGUGUAGCGGUGAAAUGCGUAGAGAUCUGGAGGAAUACCGAUGGCGAAGGCAGCCAUCUGGCCUAACACUGACGCUGAGGUACGAAAGCAUGGGGAGCAAACAGGAUUAGAUACCCUAGUAGUC
Molecule: ribosomal RNA, 465 nt
Filed under: uncultured Klebsiella sp.
Lineage: Bacteria; Pseudomonadati; Pseudomonadota; Gammaproteobacteria; Enterobacterales; Enterobacteriaceae
Description: bacterial SSU rRNA
Rfam family: Bacterial small subunit ribosomal RNA
Source: RNAcentral